AUUGAACGCUGGCGGCAUGCCUUACACAUGCAAGUCGAACGGUAACAGGUCUUCGGAUGCUGACGAGUGGCGAACGGGUGAGUAAUACAUCGGAACGUGCCUAGUAGUGGGGGAUAACUACGCGAAAGAGUGGCUAAUACCGCAUGAGAUCUACGGAUGAAAGCAGGGGAUCGCAAGACCUUGUGCUACUAGAGCGGCCGAUGGCAGAUUAGGUAGUUGGUGGGAUAAAAGCUUACCAAGCCGACGAUCUGUAGCUGGUCUGAGAGGACGAUCAGCCAAACUGGGACUGAGACACGGCCCAGACUCCUACGGGAGGCAGCAGUGGGGAAUUUUGGACAAUGGGCGCAAGCCUGAUCCAGCAAUGCCGCGUGCAGGAUGAAGGCCUUCGGGUUGUAAACUGCUUUUGAACGGAACGAAAAGCCCUGGGUUAAUACCCUGGGGUCAUGACGGUACCGUAAGAAUAAGCACCGGCUAACUACGUGCCAGCCGCCGCCGUAA
RNAcentral lists this ribosomal RNA (498 nucleotides) under uncultured bacterium. RNAcentral describes it as "partial 16S ribosomal RNA". It matches the Rfam family "Bacterial small subunit ribosomal RNA", at positions 30 to 523 of the family's 1533-position model. The record is from RNAcentral.